CAGAAUCGCGAACAGAUGACUCUCCUUCCAUGGCGGCUGCUGUUUCGUCCGAACGAUCUCCACCAGCUGCAAGCAAUCAGAUUCAAUCACAAGUGGCUGAAGAUGGAGACCCUUCUGGAUGAUCCGUUGAAGAGCAGACAUAAGAGCGUAGAUCUCGGCUUGGAAUGGCGACUGAGCAGGCACAGAUCGGGUAAGCACAUCCGUCAAAAUUCCUCUACUGUCUCUGUAAACGCAAGCUAUGGAUCCUUGCUCAGAUGCUGGGCGAAAAGCCCCAUCAAUAUUGCAUUUGAUAAAGCCUUCCGCUGGGGGGGUCCAUCCGUGCCCUAGACUGAUCUGACCCUUUUGAAUCUUCUUUGGCGAGGGUUGGAUGACCUUGAAGAUAAUGCGUUGGGAGAGGGCUUCAUUGAUGACAAGAAGAGAAUCCAACGGAGAGUGGCGAAAGACGGCGUUGUUUCGAUGUUUCCAAAUUUCCCACAGGAGAUGAGCAAUCACUUCGAAAUCCAGAGACUCUCGAGGGUUAGAAAUAUAGUCUACAAGCCAAGCAUCAAGUCUGCGUACUGAGGUAGGACAUAUACUGACUCUGAUAUCUUCAUGGUUCCAUAUGUCGUGAGUCCAAGGGCAAAAGAAAAACAGAUGCUCUAUUGUUUUUGGUAUAGAGUUAUGGCAGAGGGUACAAAAGGGGUGCUGAAUGAUAUGUCGCUGGUAAAGGUUCUGUUUUGUGGCUAAUGCGUUUUUACAAGCUAACCAUAGAAAAGCUUUAAGCUUGGGCACUGUCUGCAUAUUCCAAAUUUUUUUCCAUAACAUAGGCGGGUUAGUAUAAGAGGAUGAUGGGGUUUUAAUUAUGUGCUGAGAUUGUGCAGAGAGAUAAUGAUGACAACUCUUCACUGAGUAGGUACCAGAAGAUGUCUCUGUCCAAACCAGGUGAUCGUGGUGAAGAAAAGGAUUGAUAGGAGUGUUGAGAAUGGCUUUACUAACCUGGUGAUCGAAGAAUGAAGUAACUGAGGAAGACUUCCAUUCAGAACGUUGAGAAUCAAUGAGAUCAGCAACAAGUGCUGGUUCGCCCUCAGCAGGUAAGCCUCCUAUCUGACCUUGAGGUAACCAAUGAUCUGUUCUAAUAUGAAUCUGCGACCCAUCUCCGACUAACCAUCGUAAUUUAGGAGUAAUAACCUCUCUGCCUUUCACUAAACUCUACCACCCCCAAGAAGGCCGAUGUCCUAAAGUAGCAAUUUGGAAAGAGGAGUAUCGAAAAUAUAAACCUUUAAAGAGCCGACUCCAAAUAGCUUGAGGUUGUUGAAAAAGUCUCCAGGCUUGCUUUCCAAGCAUAGAUUUGUUAAAGUUAAUUAAAUCACGAAAACCCAUCCCCCCUGAAGCUUUGGACAGCUUUAAUUCGUACCAGUUUUUCCAGUGAAUGCCCGUAUUACUGUUAUGCUUACUCCACCAAAAAGCUGAGAUCUUCUUUUCUAUUAAUCUGCAGAGAGACAACGGAAGCUUGAAGAUGGACAUGGCAUAUUGCGGUAAGGCCUGUAUCACUGAUUUGAGUAAGAUUUCCUUGCCACUUUUCGAUAAAAAUUGUUCUCGCCAACCUGCUAAUCUAGCAUUUACUCUUGCCAGAAUCCAGGAGAACAUUUCCUUCUUGGAUCGGCCCCAAUCCGAAGGAAUGCCCAGGUAUUUUCCAUACUUAGUGAGAAUAGGUACCCUGAGUUCUUGUGCUAUGUUCUGUUGUCGCCCAGAGGAGCACAUCCUUUGGCUAUCCGAAAAAGAAGGGGCUCACAUUUGUAUUACUAAUGAAUUAUUUAUCACUAGCUCUUUUUGUGAGGCAAGCACAAAUAAUUAGAUCGAACCACAUAAAUAUCUGACGUUCUUUAUUAUUUCUCAUUAAUUUCUCAAGUGAUUUCACACUAUUUUAUUUGCAAGAUUAGAUUCAUUUCCACGUUAAUUUUACAACAUUCUCCAGUAAGGACUCGGCGUAUUAUGAUUCUAAUUCUCUUUGCCAAUGACCAUGACCAAAGUUUACCAACCAAUAAUUGAUCGGUGUCCUGCAAAUAUCGUACUAGAACAACUUGACCUGGCAGCAUAGCGCACCACAGGCAUAGCAACGAGGAAGCGUCCUUGCUGUCACAUGCUAAGAUUGUCCUAUGUUUCUAGCCGGCUCUGAUAUGGGAAUUCCACUGGAAGUUGUGAAAAUUGCUAAGUAAAUUUGGCUAUCCGAAAAAGAAGGGGAUCACAUUUGUAUUAUUAAUGAAUUAUUUAUCACUAGCUCUUUUUGUGAGGCAAGUGCCAAUAAUUAGACCGAAGCACAUAAAUAUCUGACGUUUCUUAUUAUUUCUCAUUUAUUUCUCCAGUGAUUUCACACUAUUUUAUUUGCAAGAUUAGCUUAGUUUCCACGUUAAUUUUACAACAUUCUCCAGCAAGGACUCGGCGUAUUAUGAUUCUAAUUCUCUUUGCGGAUGACCAAGACCAAAGUUUAGCAGCCAAUAAUUGAUCGGUGUCCUGCAAAUAUCGCACUUGGAAGACUUGACCCGGCAUUACAGCGCCCCACAGGCGUAACAACAAGGAAGCGUCCUUGAUGUCACAUGCUUAGAUUGUCCUGUUUCUAGGCGGCUCUCAUAUGGGAAUUCCACUGGAAAUUGCGAAAAUUGCUGAAUAAAUGUAUGUUUCUCAUUCUCAACCAAAUUCUGAAGUGUUUAUUUCAAUAUUUUAUUUUCAACGCAUGGUAUUUUCUGAAUCGCAUGUUGCUCUUAACUUCUCCAGGCUCUUCACAGCUGCUAAUGAAUUAUUCAGAUUUUAUGUUUAUUCAACUCGCACGGCAAAGUGCUGAUCUCAUCGUAGCAAUAAUUCUUUUGAGCUAUAUUUCAUCUUACUUUGUGUUACUUUUCGAAAGGAAUCUAAUGUAAUACAUGAAAUUUCUAGAAAAUAGGAAGAAUCAAGCUAUUAGAGCAUGUCACCUGUUAUUUGUUCUGUUAUGGGAAUUUUGAAAGGACAAAACUUCAGGCUAAAAUCUUGUUUUGCUUUUCGAAUGAUAGAUUACGCCCAUUAACCAAAAGAAACUUGUUUUGUUGACUUGAAUACCGAUAUGGUUCCAGUCUGCACAGCUUGUUUCGUUUCGGAGCAUAUUUUUACCACAUACCAUUUGGUUAAUGUUGACGGGAAGUCGUCGGUGACUGGAGAAAAAGACAAUUUUGUGAGUUCUGUAUGAACUUCUCUUUAGCUGGAGACUCCGCUUGUCAUGACAUUGACUCUAUAUGCAGAUGAUGUCUAAAGUCUACCAUCCACCAAUGGAUUCGGUGUCCAGCAAUAAUUAUGCUGGAACGACUUGACCUAUAUUCUAGUAGUACAUCACGAGCACACCAAUAUAGAAGAGUCGUUCAUGUCCUAUGCUGAGUUUCUACGAUGUUUCUGGCAAUCAUAUGUGAAUCACAUGCGAAAAGUGCGAAAAUUGCUAAUUGAAUUUAGUCUCGUUCUCAACCUAAUUCUGGUGUUUCUCAUUCCCAUGUUUUAUCUUCUAUGGAUACCAUCUUAUCUUUCGUAUGUUAAUGGUUUCUUCUCUCAGGAGUCUUUAAAGCAACUAAAUAAUUGUUUCCACUUUACGGUUGGUAAACUCAUCCUCAUAAACAAAUGAGAACAUGACUAUUUUGCAAAUUGUCCCUUUGAUACCAUUUCAUUGGUUGAGCUACGAAGAUAUACAAGAAAAAUUCUAAAAACCAGGGUCUCACGAUUCCUUCGACAAACAAAAUUCUAAAAACAAAUCAAACAUAUGCUCCAUUUAUGCCACGAAAAUUAAAUGAUUUGAAAAAUAUUAAAAAAAAAAAAAAAAAACGUGGAAGGGUCCUUGAUGUCACAUGCUAAGAUUGUCUUAUGUCUCUAGGUGGUUCUCACAUGGCAACUCCACUGGAAAUUGCGAAAAUUGCUAAAUAAAUUUGGUUAUCCGAAAAGGAAGGGGCUCACAUUUGUAUUAUUAAUGAAUUAUUUACCAAUAGCUCUUUUUUUUUAGGCAAGUACCAAUAAUUAGACCGAACCACGUAAAUAUCUAACAUUCUUUAUUAUUUCUCAUUUGCUUCUCAAGUGAUUUCACACUAUUUUAUUUGCAAGACUAGAUUAGUUUCCACGUUAAUUUUACGACGUUCUCCAGUAAGGACUCGGCGUAUUAUGAUUCUAAUUCUCUUUGUUGAUGACGAUGACCAAAGUUUACCAACCAAUAAUUGAUCGGUGUCCUGCAAAUAUCGCACUAGAACAACUUGACCUGGCAGCAUAGCGCACCACAGGCAUAGCAACGAGGAAGCGUCCUUGCUGUCACAUGCUAAGAUUGUCCUAUGUUUCUAGGCCGCUCUCAUGUGGGAAUUCCACUGGAAAUUGCGAAAAGUGCUGAAUAAAUGUAUGUUUCUCAUUCUCAACCAAAUUCUGAAGUGUUUAUUUCAAUAUUUUAUUUUCAACGCAUGGCAUUUUCUGAAUCGCAUGUUGCUCUUAACUUCUCCAGGCUCUUCACAGCAGCUAAUGAAUUAUUCAGAUUUUAUGUUUAUUCAACUCACACGGCAAAGUGCUGAUCUCAUCGUUGCAAUAAUUCUUUUGAGCUAUAUUUCAUCUUACUUUGUGUUACUUUUCGAAAGGAAUCUAAUGUAAUACAUGAAAUUUCUAGAAAAUAGGAAGAAUCAAGCUAUUAGAGCAUGUCACCUGUUAUUUGUUCUGUUAUGGGAAUUUUGAAAGGACAAAACUUCAGGCUAAAAUCUUGUUUUGCUUUUCGAAUGAUAGAUUACGCCCAUUAACCAAAAGAAACUUGUUUUGUUGACUUGAAUACCGAUAUGGUUCCAGUCUGCACAGCUUGUUUCGUUUCGGAGCAUAUUUUUACCACAUACCAUUUGGUUAAUGUUGACGGGAAGUCGUCGGUGACUGGAGAAAAAGACAAUUUUGUGAGUUCUGUAUGAACUUCUCUUUAGCUGGAGACUCCGCUUGUCAUGACAUUGACUCUAUAUGCAGAUGAUGUCUAAAGUCUACCAUCCACCAAUGGAUUCGGUGUCCAGCAAUAAUUAUGCUGGAACGACUUGACCUAUAUUCUAGUAGUACAUCACGAGCACACCAAUAUAGAAGAGUCGUUCAUGUCCUAUGCUGAGUUUCUACGAUGUUUCUGGCAAUCAUAUGUGAAUCACAUGCGAAAAGUGCGAAAAUUGCUAAUUGAAUUUAGUCUCGUUCUCAACCUAAUUCUGGUGUUUCUCAUUCCCAUGUUUUAUCUUCUAUGGAUACCAUCUUAUCUUUCGUAUGUUAAUGGUUUCUUCUCUCAGGAGUCUUUAAAGCAACUAAAUAAUUGUUUCCACUUUACGGUUGGUAAACUCAUCCUCAUAAACAAAUGAGAACAUGACUAUUUUGCAAAUUGUCCCUUUGAUACCAUUUCAUUGGUUGAGCUACGAAGAUAUACAAGAAAAAUUCUAAAAACCAGGGUCUCACGAUUCCUUCGACAAACAAAAUUCUAAAAACAAAUCAAACAUAUGCUCCAUUUAUGCCACGAAAAUUAAAUGAUUUGAAAAAUAUUAAAAAAAAAAAAAAAAAACGUGGAAGGGUCCUUGAUGUCACAUGCUAAGAUUGUCUUAUGUCUCUAGGUGGUUCUCACAUGGCAACUCCACUGGAAAUUGCGAAAAUUGCUAAAUAAAUUUGGUUAUCCGAAAAGGAAGGGGCUCACAUUUGUAUUAUUAAUGAAUUAUUUACCAAUAGCUCUUUUUUUUUAGGCAAGUACCAAUAAUUAGACCGAACCACGUAAAUAUCUAACAUUCUUUAUUAUUUCUCAUUUGCUUCUCAAGUGAUUUCACACUAUUUUAUUUGCAAGACUAGAUUAGUUUCCACGUUAAUUUUACGACGUUCUCCAGUAAGGACUCGGCGUAUUAUGAUUCUAAUUCUCUUUGUUGAUGACGAUGACCAAAGUUUACCAACCAAUAAUUGAUCGGUGUCCUGCAAAUAUCGCACUAGAACAACUUGACCUGGCAGCAUAGCGCACCACAGGCAUAGCAACGAGGAAGCGUCCUUGCUGUCACAUGCUAAGAUUGUCCUAUGUUUCUAGGCCGCUCUCAUGUGGGAAUUCCACUGGAAAUUGCGAAAAGUGCUGAAUAAAUGUAUGUUUCUCAUUCUCAACCAAAUUCUGAAGUGUUUAUUUCAAUAUUUUAUUUUCAACGCAUGGCAUUUUCUGAAUCGCAUGUUGCUCUUAACUUCUCCAGGCUCUUCACAGCAGCUAAUGAAUUAUUCAGAUUUUAUGUUUAUUCAACUCACACGGCAAAGUGCUGAUCUCAUCGUUGCAAUAAUUCUUUUGAGCUAUAUUUCAUCUUACUUUGUGUUACUUUUCGAAAGGAAUCUAAUGUAAUACAUGAAAUUUCUAGAAAAUAGGAAGAAUCAAGCUAGAAGAGCAGGUUACCUGUUAUUUCUUCUGUUAUGGGAAGUUUGAAAGGACAAAACUUCAGGCCAAAAUCUUGUUUUCCUUUUCGAAUGAUGGAUUACGCCCAUUAACCAAAAAAAAAAAAAAAAAAAACUUGUUUUGUUGACUUGAAUACUAAUAUGGUUCCAGUCUGCACAGCUUGUUUCGUUUUGGAGCAGAUUUUUACCAUACACCAUAUGGUUAAUGUUGACGGGAAGUCGUCGGUGAUGGGAGAAAAAGACAAUUCUGCGAGUUCUGUAUGAACUUCUCUUUGGCUGGAGACUCCGCUAGUCAAGACAUUGACUCUAUAUGCAGAUGAUGUUUAAAGUCUACCAUCCACCAAUGGAUUCGGUGUCCAGCAAUAAUUAUGCUGGAGCGACUUGACCUGUAUUCUAGUAGUAUAUCACCAGCACACCAAUAUAGAAGAGUCGUUCAUGUCCUAUGAUAAGUUUCGACGAUGUUUCUGGCUCUCAUAUGAGAAUGCCAUGCGAGAAGUGCGAAAAUUGCUAAUUGAAUUUAGUCUCGUUCUCAGCCUAAUUCUGGUGUUUCUCAUUCCCAUAUUUUAUCUUCGAUGGAUAGCAUCUUAUCAUUCGCAGGUCAAUGGUUUCUUCUCUCACGAGUCUUUAAAGCAGCUAAAUAAUUGUUUCCACUUUAUGGUUUGUCAGCUCAUCCUCAUAAACAAAUGAGAACAUGACUAUUUUGCGAAUUGUCCCUUUGAUACCAUUUCAUUGGUUGAGCUACGUAGAUAUACGAGAAAUAUUCUAAAAACCAGGGUCUCCUUCGACAAACAAAAUUCUAAAAACGAAUCAAACAUAGGCUCCAUUUACGUCACGAAAAUUAAAUGAUUUGAAAAGUAUUUUUCAAAAAGGAAACGAGGAAGCAUCGUUGAUGUCACAUGCUAAGAUUGUCCUAUGUUUUUAGGUGGCUCUCAUAUGGGAAUUCCACUGGACAUUGCGAAAAUUGCUAAAUAAAUUUGGCUAUACGAAAAAGAAGGGGGUCACAUUUGUAUUAUUAAUGAAUUAUUUACCACUAGCUCUUUUUGUGAGGCAAGUAUCAAUAAUUAGACCAAACCACGGAAAUAUCCGAUGUUCUUUAUUAUUUCUCAUUUAGUUCUCCGGUGAUUUCACACUAUUUUAUUUGCAAGAUUAGAUUAGUUUCCAGGUUAAUUUUACAACAUUCUCCAGCAAGGACUCGGCCUAUUGUCAUGCUAAUUCUCUUUGCUGACGAUCAUAACCAAAGUUUAGCAGCCCAUAAUUGAUCGGUGUCCUGCAAAUAUCGUGCUUGGACAAGUUGACCCGGCAUUACAGAGCCCCACAGGCAUAGCAACAAGGAAGCAUCCUUGAUGUCACAUGCUAAGAUUGUCCUAUGUUUCUAGGGGGCUCCCAUAUGGGAAUUCCACUGGAAAUUGCGAAAAUUGCUGAAUAAAUUUGUGUUUUUCAUUCUCAACAAAAUUCUGAAGUGUUUAUUUCAAUAUUUUAUUUUCAACGCAUGGCAUUUUAUGAAUCACAUGUUGCUCUUCACAUCUCCAGGCUCUUCACAGCAGCCAAU
Molecule: long non-coding RNA, 7939 nt
Filed under: Eucalyptus grandis
Lineage: Eukaryota; Viridiplantae; Streptophyta; Magnoliopsida; Myrtales; Myrtaceae
Description: long non-coding RNA (EGRA_LNC001804)
Source: RNAcentral